Molecule: ribosomal RNA, 496 nt
Filed under: uncultured bacterium
Lineage: Bacteria
Description: partial 16S ribosomal RNA
Rfam family: Bacterial small subunit ribosomal RNA
Source: RNAcentral
AUGAACGCUGGCGGCGUGCCUAAUACAUGCAAGUCGCGCGAACGGACGAGAAGCUUGCUUCUCUGAUGUUAGCGGCGGACGGGUGAGUAACACGUGGAUAACCUACCUAUAAGACUGGGAUAACUUCGGGAAACCGGAGCUAAUACCGGAUAAUAUUUUGAACCGCAUGGUUCAAAAGUGAAAGACGGUCUUGCUGUCACUUAUAGAUGGAUCCGCGCUGCAUUAGCUAGUUGGUAAGGUAACGGCUUACCAAGGCAACGAUGCAUAGCCGACCUGAGAGGGUGAUCGGCCACACUGGAACUGAGACACGGUCCAGACUCCUACGGGAGGUAGCAGUAGGGAAUCUUCCGCAAUGGGCGAAAGCCUGACGGAGCAACGCCGCGUGAGUGAUGAAGGUCUUCGGAUCGUAAAACUCUGUUAUUAGGGAAGAACAUAUGUGUAAGUAACUGUGCACAUCUUGACGGUACCUAAUCAGAAAGCCACGGCUAACUACGUG